CCAACUGGGAGCUGACUUGUCUUGUUCCUUCAACAACAGAGUUAGCCCUGUCCUCUGGUUCACAAUGGACAGAUCUCCUCCUCCAGAUUAAGUCUGGGUGUUCCACAAGAUUUGGGAAGAGAAUUUUAAAGUGCCAGUCCCCAUGCUCAGCCAUAGUCACAGCUGGUGGGUGUGCCACCAGGGAGCUGCCACCCUGGGUCCCAGGUGGGCUUUGCUUCCCAGUGGAGAUUUGCCUGAGGUCUGGCAAACCCUUUGGUUUACUUGCACCUAAAGAGUUGCAGAUAUUUUAUUUUGUUCAGUUCUUGAUGAGAAGGAGCUGUAACCAAGUCUCCUCGAGGCUGGGCCGAGUUGGGGUGGGGAGGAUUGUACCAGUUUUUUAUAUCACUCUCUGCUAAACAUUCCUAAUCUUCUUCCCCCAUCUCAAUAUCAUGUGCUUUGGUCUUCCCAAGCCUGAGAGUCAUCUAUUAGAGAUGGUUUUAAUUCCAGAGUCCAAGGGCUGUAAUUCAGUCCAGAUGGCCCCAACAUUGAGUUCCAAUGGUGCCUUCCCAGUUUCUCCCAAGAAGACUAGGGACUGUUGAUCAGUUAGAACCACCGGUGUCCAGCUGAAUGCAGAGGACUCCCAAUGUGGGUCUGCUGGGGAUGCUUCACACUCUGCUAAACUUACAAUAUUUGCAGGGAAGCCAUCUCUUUCUAGUCUCCUUUACCUGGGUCUUAUGCUUCCAGCAAAUCCUGGUGCUGUGUGGUCUUGGGCAGGUCUCUUGGUCUCUCUGUACCUCCUCUAACAGGGAGAAAGCACUGGUAUCUUGAGGAGCCACGAGAUUUCGGCAUUACUGAGUGAGAUAAUGAUUUCAAGAACUGUAUGCUUCCAGGCAUGCUGUAAGCCCUCAGAGUGUUUGCUGACACCAUCCAUCACUACGUCGUCAAGCAAAGCACCUGCAACUAGACUCAAGACCCUAGUCUUGGUUGUGCCAAAGCACAGUGAAAUUUCUUUCACCGACUUAGAAACUAAGAUUCUAUAUGAUUGAGAGUCUCAUUAACUUUCUCAAAGCUUCAAGAACUUUAUACACUGAGACAGCCCCCUGUCCCCAGAUCACCCCUAGUGCCACCCAGAAACUGUCAAGUUUACAUUUUGCAUUGUAUCUUUCCAUACCUUUUUUUUAAAAAGUAGAAAUCGACUCACACUGUACAUAUUGCUUCAUAAGCUAUUGAUUUUUCUUUAAUAUGCUUUUCUCAGAUCAUUAAAUAUAUUCUUGGGCUAUUGCUAUUUUUAAUGAACUUAUUAUUUUCAGCUGUCCGGGUGAACUCCAGCUACUGGAUGUCUAGAUUGCUCCCAGUGUUAUGCUAUUAUAAACAAUGCUGUGAUGAACAUCCUCAAUUAUUAUCAUUAUCUUUUUCUUAAGUGUUAUAACCAUGCUGAUCAUGUGGACUCAAAGCUCUGAGUUUUAUUAAAACCUGCCACUGCGAAGUCUCAUUACCAUCCCGCCCACCUCAAUCCCGUCCUUGAACAGUAAGUGUUUCGAAGCCAAGUUCAGGACCUGACAUUUAUCUCUGUUUUAUUUUAUCUUAUUAGAUUCAGCCCAUCAGUCCAGCCUGUCUAGAGCCAUCUGGAUUCUGUCGAUGUUUUUGCAAUCUGCCUAGGCCUUUUUUUUUUUUUCUUUUAAGAUUAACUGCAAAUUUGGUAAACAGGCCCU
RNAcentral lists this long non-coding RNA (1691 nucleotides) under Marmota monax (woodchuck). Lineage: Eukaryota; Metazoa; Chordata; Mammalia; Rodentia; Sciuridae. The record is from RNAcentral.